Molecule: non-coding RNA, 2174 nt
Organism: Oncorhynchus mykiss (rainbow trout)
Lineage: Eukaryota; Metazoa; Chordata; Actinopteri; Salmoniformes; Salmonidae
Source: RefSeq, a predicted model, not a curated record
AGAGGCAAUACGGAUUUUGCAGAAACUGGCAGCCACGUCACCGCUACAGGUCUGGCCAACUUUCCCAGCCCUUUGCGGAAAGUGCUGCAGAGGAAUCCCUAUGCAGAAUAUAUAUAAUGAACGUUUAUGAGCAUUUAUAGUGAUUUCCAAAGAACAAGAGGACAUAACAUUUGGGAACAUUGGAGUUAUUUGUUUUUGGAGAGUCUCAUUUUACAUACGUUAUUGUUUUGACUUCGCCUGAAGACUACUUGGAGGCCUCAUUCUUACAGAUUUGUACCAAUAUUUCGACUCUUUCUUUUUGGAAUACCAAAACAGCACUAUGAAUAUCUUCCGUCUAGCCGGUGACGUGUCACAUCUCGUUGCUAUCAUCAUUCUAUUUAUGAAGAUACGGAGGUCCAAAUCCUGUGCCGGUAUUUCUGGGAAGUCUCAGGUGCUUUUUGCAUUAGUCUUCACUACAAGAUACUUGGACCUGUUCACGAGCGUAAUCUCCAUCUACAACACAGUUAUGAAGGUGGUGUUUCUGGCUUUGGCAUAUGCUACUGUGUACCUGAUCUACAUGCGCUUCAGGAGCACCUUCGACUCAGAGAGUGACUCAUUCCGUGUUGAGUUCCUGCUUGUGCCUGUGGCUGGGCUUUCCUUCCUGGAAAACUAUGCAUUUGCCCCCUUGGAGGUAAAUGUGUCAGGUUCAAUACAUACUGAACAUACAGAUCCUGUGGACCUUCUCCAUCUACCUGGAGUCAGUGGCCAUCUUGCCCCAGCUCUUCAUGAUCACCAAGACCGGCGAGGCAGAGUCCAUCACCACCCACUACCUGUUCUUCCUGGGUCUCUACCGAGCCCUGUACCUGGCCAACUGGGUGUGGCGCUACCACACCGAGGGCUUCUUUGACCAGAUUGCUGUGGUGUCCGGUGUGGUGCAGACAAUUUUCUACUGUGACUUCUUCUACCUUUACGUUACCAGGGUGCUCAGAGGAAGUGGAAAGAUGUCCCUGCCCAUGCCCAUCUAAAGAGAGUCAGUGCUGUUUUAAGCGACAGUUGAGCAGUUCAGUAACUGAAAGCACCUCUGCCCACAAAUCAUACUUAGUAAUGGACUACAGUCUGCAGUGUCACAGUACCCCCUGUAUACCCUGGGGGGUAUAUACUGUACCCAGAGGGCAACCGUCGUGUUGUUGGUACCUGGUGUGUUUGUUAGUGUGCUUUUCCCUAGACUAAAAUGACCAAAGAACGAUUGUCCUAUGUUUUUGUGCAUGAGUGUGUGGAACUGAAUGUUAAUGGGAAUUGAGUAAAUUGAAUACUGUGGGAUUUUUUAUUUUUAUUAUACUUUUUUUUCAUGGAGGCAGAUAUUGUCCCGCUUGAAUUAGUCCAAUGGAGUUUGUGCCUUAUUUUUCCUUUUCUAGUAAAUGGCAUAUUUGAAUGUCGUAUUACAUCAGAAUGGUGUAAACAUUGUAUAUAUGUGAGACAUUUGUUCUGCUUUCCUGUCUUUUCACUAUUUCUACAUAUAACAGUGACCAACCUUCAAUGCUUACAUUGUUUCACCAAGCAGAGUUCAUUGGGAGUCUUGUAUUUAGGCUGCUAUGGGCGAUAUUUGCCAUCCUUGUCAAGCAGAGUUCAUUGGGAGUCUUGUAUUUAGGCUGCUAUGGGUGAUAUUUGCCAUCCUUGUCAAGAGUUGUGCUAUGUUCUUCCCUUUAUGAUAAUAAGUCCAUGGAGAUGCCAUACAGAACGCACUGUCAUGUAUGUAACUCUUAUAUCCGUUCACUUCUUGACUGAACCAAGGUUCUUCUUAAAUACGUUGUAUUCUGUACUUUGAUUUUUACCAGUCAUUUCCAUUCCUUUAAUAUUAAUGCAUUUCAUUAAGCAGAACAAAUACACAUUUGUGUGAUGUCACAGUUCAAUCUAAAUCUAUUUUCUAUUUGAUGAGUUAUUUCUCACUAACUAGAGUUCAUUCAUAUCUCAACAUUUAUUGACAACAUUUUCAGACCAGGAUUACAAUGGCGAAGGCAGAUUAAUGCUUCAACAAAAUGGAAAGUUACUUACACUAAGUAUCUUGGUACUACUAAAUUUGUAUAUGUGUGCCAAACUUUUACAACUGUGGUGCCCAUGUUGUAAUGAUCAACAUUUUAAUACAAAGAACCUUCAUCAUUUGUAAAUUAGGUCAGUAAAAUGUAUCUUUACUGGUU